AUGCACGCUGGCGGCGUGCCUAAUACCUGCAAGUCGAGCGAACGGACGAGAAGCUUGCUUCUCUGAUGUUAGCGGCGGACGGGUGAGUAACACGUGGAUAACCUACCUAUAAGACUGGGAUAACUUCGGGAAACCGGAGCUAAUACCGGAUAAUAUUUUGAACCGCAUGGUUCAAAAGUGAAAGACGGUCUUGCUGUCACUUAUAGAUGGAUCCGCGCUGCAUUAGCUAGUUGGUAAGGUAACGGCUUACCAAGGCAACGAUGCAUAGCCGACCUGAGAGGGUGAUCGGCCACACUGGAACUUAGACACGGUCCAGACUCCUACGGGAGGCAGCAGUAGGGAAUCUUCCGCAAUGGGCGAAAGCCUGACGGAGCAACGCCGCGUGAGUGAUGAAGGUCUUCGGAUCGUAAAACUCUGUUAUUAGGGAAGAACAUAUGUGUAAGUAACUGUGCACAUCUUGACGGUACCUAAUCAGAAAGCCACGGCUAACUACGUG
RNAcentral lists this ribosomal RNA (496 nucleotides) under uncultured bacterium. RNAcentral describes it as "partial 16S ribosomal RNA". It matches the Rfam family "Bacterial small subunit ribosomal RNA", at positions 29 to 507 of the family's 1533-position model. The record is from RNAcentral.